This 500-nucleotide ribosomal RNA is filed under the name uncultured bacterium. Its description in RNAcentral is "partial 16S ribosomal RNA". The record is from RNAcentral.
CGGCCAUUGAUCCCGCUGGUCACGCCCUAUCCGAGUGUCGAGACGGUAGUGUGUGCGCCGUUUGUGGUGCUGCCGGAUGUCGCCGAGGCGCUGAAAGACGUCCCUAUCGGCGUCGGCGCGCAGAAUUGCCACUGGGCAGACAGCGGCGCCUACACCGGCGAGGUUUCACCGGUGAUGCUGAAGGGGCUGGCCGGGUACGUCAUCAUCGGCCACUCCGAACGCCGCCAAUACUUCGCGGAAACCGACGAGGGCGUCAACAAGAAGAUCAAGGCCGCGCUGGCCCACGGUCUUGUGCCCAUCGUCUGCGUGGGUGAGGACCUGGCCCAGAAUGAGGCCGGCAUCACCGAACCGUGGGUCAGCGGGCAGGUGCGAGCCGCGUUCGCCGGUUUGAGCGCCGAGCGGGCGGCCGGGGUCGUCAUCGCUUACGAGCCGAUCUGGGCCAUCGGCACGGGAAGGACCGCCACCUCUGAGGUCGCCAAUCGCGUCUGCGGGCAGGUGGU